AUUCUGAAACACCAGUUCUGCAAAUUACAGUACCACAGAAGAUCCAGACAAAUACCAAUGAUGGCGAUGUUUCAGAAACGCAUGCCACUUAUUCCAUCAAAAUUGAGGGGAAACCAUACACUUUCCUGCUUGAAAAACAGUCAUUUUUACACCCACAUUUCCUGGUGUAUUUAUACAAUGAAUCAGGAACAUUGUAUGCAGAUUCUUCAUUUUCAAAGGGUCAUUGCUUUUACCAAGGAUAUGCUGCAGACAUUCCAAAAUCAGUUGUGGCACUACGCACCUGUUCUGGACUCAGGGGAUUACUGCAGUUAGAUAAUAUCAGUUAUGGUAUUGAACCACUGGAAUCUUCACCUACAUAUGAGCAUGUAGUUUAUCGAAUUAAAAAUGAUGCUAUUGGUCAUUCCUCCUUUCAAGAAAAUUAUCCUGUGGCUCAAUAUACAGAUCAGUCCUACAGGAUUCUUGUCAAAUCAGACACAAAUUCAGGUGCCAUGCUAUCGAAAAGAACUCUGAAAAUACAAAUCAUUAUGGAUAAAGCAAUGGCAUGCACUCAUAAAAAAUGCUGUAAUCCUGCAGAUUGUACUCUAGUUGGAGCUGCAGAAUGUGGCACUGGACCAUGCUGUAACAAUAAAACUUGUACGGCUUGUCGCUCCCAAGAAUGCAGAAAUUUUAGUGAACUAAAUAUAACAAAAUGUACUACAAAUUGUGGACAGAAUGGGGUGAUCCUGGUUAUGCUCCUCCAGAUUGUGAGCCAGCAAUGUCAUCACCAGGAGGAAGUAUCGAUGAUGGGUUUUGGCUUACAAUAG
RNAcentral lists this small RNA (803 nucleotides) under Pongo abelii (Sumatran orangutan). Its description in RNAcentral is "processed transcript". The record is from RNAcentral. Lineage: Eukaryota; Metazoa; Chordata; Mammalia; Primates; Hominidae.